GGACUACCCGGGUUUCUAAUCCUGUUUGCUCCCCACGCUUUCGCGUCUCAGCGUCAGUCACCGUCCAGAUGGCCGCCUUCGCCACCGGUGUUCUUCUCGAUAUCUACGAAUUUCACCUCUACACCGAGAGUUCCACCAUCCUCUCCGGGACUCUAGUCGCGCAGUAUCGAGUGCACUUCCUGGGUUGAGCCCAGGGCUUUCACACCCGACUUGCGUAACCGCCUACACGCGCUUUACGCCCAGUAAUUCCGAACAACGUUUGCACCCUCUGUCUUACCGCGGCUGCUGGCAC
Molecule: ribosomal RNA, 292 nt
Filed under: uncultured bacterium
Lineage: Bacteria
Description: partial 16S ribosomal RNA
Source: RNAcentral